AGCCAGAUGGGAGUGAGCAUGG
RNAcentral lists this unclassified non-coding RNA (22 nucleotides) under Mus musculus (house mouse). RNAcentral's name for it is "oocyte_clustered_small_RNA9829". The record is from RNAcentral. Lineage: Eukaryota; Metazoa; Chordata; Mammalia; Rodentia; Muridae.